GGUGACUCCCCCCACGAUUGCGGUCCCCCGCCCUCCGCCCGGCCGCCGCUGGCGGACCCCAAAGUCGGGGCGAGUCUCCAAACCGGGGAGCCGGCCCCGCCCCCACGCCGCGGCGGCGCCCUCCCUUCCCCCUCCCCGCCGCCCGCCUCUCCCCCUCCCCCCUCCAUAACUCAAAAGCCUGUCAAGCUGGUUCCAGACUCCUGGCGCCGGGCUCCGCUCCAGGAAAGAAAAAAAGGAAAGAGAAAAAGGGAAAAAGCCGGCGCGAGGGAGCGAGAGAGGCCCGCGGAGCAAAACCGUGCGCCCCGGCACGCACAGCCCCGCGGCCCCCGACCCCCCACGCCCCUAACCCUAACGGGGAUCCCAGUCCUAGGGACACCGGGCGCGUGCGCGACCCCAAUCAGUUAUUUAUGGGCGAAUUAAUUAUGUAGCUGCCAUGGGCGGGGGGGCCGGCAGGGGCCAUGCGACGCGGAGACCACCCGGCCGCGGUGGCGGCUCUCCUGCCGGGCCUCGGGGUCGGGAGGCGUCCCCACGCCGCCCGGGGAGGAUCCCGUUGUGAGAAAGCUGCCUCGGGGUGGGGUCCGGGAGGAGCGCGGGGGAACCUGAGGAAGCGGGAGAGACGGCUCGGAGACCUCCCAAUUAGACUGGGAGGGGAGAGGGGGGCGGGCGACGGAGCUGGAAAGAGCGGGCCGCGGAGACCGGGGCGUGGGAAGAGCCUGGCCUAGGCAUUUCUUCCCUUCCUUCCUUCCUUCAUCCCCAUCCUUACUGCGAGCCCACUACGUGCCACUGCGCCCACAGCAGAGGGCGGUAUUAGGGAGGGGUUAGGAGCAGGAAGGAAUUUCGAGGUACAGCUGGGUCCAAAUCCGGAUUUGUAUCCUAUACUCCCCUGCUGUGUGGCCUUAGGCAACGGCUUGCCCUCUCGGAGCCUCCACUUCCUCAUCUGCCAGUGGUCUUCAGGACUUGGGAGAUGGGGCGCUUGGGCAGAGAGUUUGUGGGGGCGCGGUCGAAGGGAGGUCCUGUCCUUGGGAAACUUUACAUAGAGGGGAACAUGCCCAGUCCCCCAGUAUUCCCCAUCUCGAAGCCCCGACUUUGGGUCUCAUAUAAUCUGCCUCUCCCCGGGGCCCACACAUUUGAAGGUCGUUAUUAAAACCACACCACCCCCAAGGCCACUGCUCAGGACGCUCACCCCUAGCUGGCUUCUCACCAGCCUGGCCCUGCAGAAGGUCGUGCAUAUGGCAGCCAGAGGGGCUCAAUCUAGUCCUUUUACUCCCCACCUCCGCUGCCUCCCCCGACUCUGCCCUUCACAUCCCCACCUGGGUUCUCCUUCCAACCUGCUUCUAGUCUGGGCUAGGGAGAUUGGAGCCCUGAGGCCAUGGGGGCUACGGGGCAGUGAGAACAGGGGUGGGGGCUCAGCUGGCCCUCCCUGGACAAGUGUCCCCCUUAUCUGGAGUGUCAAGGCGUUCUACUUCCAAGACUCAGAAGUGAAGGAGGCUUCCGUUUGCGACCCAGGAUUGCCUAGGGGUUUGCCUGUCUUCUUUCACCAAAACUUGCAAUAACUCUGUUAGGUGAAUGGGGCAGAUCCAGGUUUUAUGGGGCCUGAAGGUUUUACAAUCCUGGGGACCCACUUGAAGAAGAAUAGUGCAAAGUUAUGAAUAGGCGGUUAAGCUCAGGGCCUUGGUAAAUGACAGUCCCAGGAGCUAAAGCUUCAUUAGCCCCUCGGUAACUCACCUCUGUAGAUGGACAACACAACUGUCAUCCCUUUGCAGAGGUGGAAACAAAGCUUAGGCUGGCCCAAGGUCACAACAGGUAGAAAGGACAAGCUGGGAUCAAACCCAGGUCCCACCCCACAGGCAGCACCCUGAACUAACUGCCUCAGUAGGAAUGCCACCUUCCAUAUCAUCUACCCCAUGCCACAUCUCACCUGUCCCCACCAGUGCCCAGCCCAGGCAGGGUCAGUCAGAACAGCCUUUGCUUCCAGAACAGUCUGUGUCCCUCCCUCCAGAGGCCUCCAUGUCCCAAGGCUCAAGCCUCAGAGAUACUGUCUUGUGACAACACUCACAGAUCUAGUAAGUAGGUCUCUUCUAAACUUUUGAUUCCAGCAAUGGUAACCUGCUCACUCCAGAACUCCAGCUCCCCCGUCCACCUGGAGGGAGCGCACCCCUGUUCCCCGGUGGGCUCCCUGGUGUUCGGGGCUGGAUCUGUUUUAUUUGGCUCAGUAUUCCCCGCUCUUGACGCAGUACAGACAUACAGCCGACAGAGUGACUGUAGCAGUAACAUCUAUUCCCAACCUCGUGGAACAGGAUGUUGUUAAACUGCGGAUUCCCGGGCCCCCCUCAGAUUCUACUGAAUCAGACUCUCUGUGCACAGGGCCGGGGACUUGGCAUUUUACAAGCUCUUUUGGGUGCAUCUUAACCAUAGUAAAGUUCGAGACCACGGACCUACGGCCAGAAAGGACCAAAUGGUUGUGUCUAGACCAAGGCCUUCUCACCAGGGGGAGUUAUCUCCCCUAAAUCCGACCGAUUUCACCAGUUCCCCAGGCUCUUCUGGCUGAGAUCAAAUUAUUUCACUUAUCAGGCCAGGCACAGUGGGUCAUGCCUGUAAUUCCAGCACUUUGGGAGGCUGAGGUGGGUGUGUCACUUGAGGUCAGGAGUUCAAGACUAGUCUGGCCAACAUGGCAAAACCCCGUCUCUACUAAAAACACAAAAAUUAGCUGGGUGUGGUGGUGGGCGCCUGUAAUCCCAGCUACUCAGGAGGCUGAGGCAUGAGAAUCGCUUGAACCCGGGAGGUGGAGGUUGCAGUGAGCCAAGGUCGUGCCACUGCACCCCAGCCUGGGUGACAGAGCAAGACUCAAAAACAGCAACAAAAAUUAUUUCAUGUAUCAAAGACCUACUGCCUGCCCGGGACUGGGUCUGAGGCCUUAGAGAAUUGACCUCAUAGGAUACUCGCAAAAGCUCUGAGAAGUAGGGAGAAUUAUUGUCCCCAUUUUACAGAUGGAAUCUGAGGCCUGGAGAAGCAAAGUGGCUUUGUGGAAGGGAUACGGUGCUGGGGAAUGAGGAGGCUGGGAUGGGAGCUGAACUCACACCCUUAACUCCUUCCUUCCACUGCCCACAAGGCCACUGAUCCGAGGGCUGUAACUCGCAAGGGUCCUUCAGUAACAUCCGGAGAUGAGAGUUUACACACCAGCCUGUGAGCGGCUUUGAGAAAUUAAACACGCUACAGAGUCACUACAGGGACCUCAUGCUAAGACGCGCAACAAAAUUAGGCGACAGGCCCCAAAGAAAUCUAAUCAAGUAGGCCUCUUCUCCUCCGUAUCUUUGGAGUCGGUGUUCAGGGGAAUGUGUGUUUGCGGAAGGAUUUGAUGUAUUUGCUUCAGGCAAAUCUUUGCCUUUUUCUCUGCCUGCAGUUCUGUGCUAGGCAGCAAGAAAGCUCCACAGCUGGUGGCCAGUGCUGCAGGCCAGCGUGGCUCCCUGGGCUUCUCUGUAGGGCUGUGUUAUCACGCUUCCCCGGGUCCGGUGCUCUGUGCAAACGUAGCCUCUUUCCUGCUCCAGGAUGGGCAAGGCACAGGGGAGGUUUCAGGUGGAGAGAAAUUGAUUUAGUGGCCACUGCUUCUGAGGCUGGAGGACCUGCCUGAGGCAGAGGGUGUGGACUUGUUCUGGGAGGACCCAGAAGGCAGAACCACGGAAGGCUACCAAGGGAGGUCUCAUCUCAGAGGCAGGCUCAGGAAGGGAGCUGGGAGAUGCCGGCAGAGGGCCCAGGAGAGGCACACUGCCCACCAGCUAGGAGCUGCUUCUGACCUCGCUGGCCGAUGGCCGGGGACCCUGGCCCCUCCCAACCCCAGGGACACAAAGCAGAAGAUCCCAGAAUGGGGAUGGGGAGAGAGGACCAUCUUGUUCAACUUCCUCAUUCUAUACCAGGAAAACAGGCAUCGGAGAAGGGAAGAGAUACCUCAAGGUCAACGCCAAGUCCAGCAGCUGCUGCUCUCCUGAGUCCUCCACGUGGACUUCUUCUGCGUUCCCACAUCUCAUUCCUCCAAUUUUUUUUUAAAAAUUGUUAGUAGUAGCAUAAUACUAAGAAAGCACUAUUCAAAGGAACAAGAAGACCCACCGUGUGCGGAACGGUCACUGUGCACCAGGCAACGUGACCCGCAAUUUUCUCUCCUAUAAAACGGGGAUGAGAACAGGGCCUCCCCUGCUGACUCAUGGGAAGAGGUUAAGAUCAAAGGUGACAGUGGACAUGAAUCAGCAUUUUAUAAACCACAAGACAUUGUCACCAUGGCUAUCUUUGGUUUUUAUUAUUUAUUUUUUAAUUUUUUAAUUUUUAUUUUUUGAGAGCAGGGUCUCACUCUGUUACCCAGGCUGCAGUGCAGUGGUGCAAUCAUGGCUCUCUGCAGGCUCAAAUCCUGGGCUCAAGCAAUCCUCCACUCAGCCUCCUGAGUAGGUGGGACUAUAGGUGUGUGCCACCUUGCUAUUAAAUUACCUGGCUAUGGCCGGGCACAGUGGCUCACACCUGUAAUCCCAACACUUUGGGAGGCUGAGGCGGGUGGAUCACUUGAGGUCAGGAGUUCAAGACCAGCCUGGCCAACCCCGUCUCUACUGAAAAUACAAAAAUUAGCUGGGCAUGGUGGCACAUGCCUGUAAUCUCAGCUGCUAGAGAGGCUGAGACACAAGAAUUGCUUGAACUUGGGAGGCAGAGGUUGCAGUGGGUCGAGAUUGCCCCACUGCACUCCAGCCUGGGUGACAGAGCGGGACCCUGUCUCCAAAA
This 4758-nucleotide long non-coding RNA is filed under the name Homo sapiens (human). Its description in RNAcentral is "HSALNT0155960". Lineage: Eukaryota; Metazoa; Chordata; Mammalia; Primates; Hominidae. The record is from RNAcentral.